AUACGGAGGAUCCGAGCGUUAUCCGGAUUUAUUGGGUUUAAAGGGUGCGCAGGCGGCCAUUUAAGUCAGCGGUUAAAUCGUGGGGCUCAACCCCAUUCUGCCGUUGAUACUGGGUGGCUUGAUUGCGGUCGAGGUUGGCGGAAUUCGUUGUGGAGCGGUGAAAUGCAUAGAUAUGACGAAGAACACCGAUUGCGUAGGCAGCUGACCAGACCGCAAAUGACGCUCAUGCACGAAAGUGCGGGGAUCGAACAGGAUUAGAUACCCUGGUAGUCCGCACAGUAAACGAUGAAUACUUGUUUUCGGCGUUAUAAUGUCGGAGGCAAAGCGAAAGCGAUAAGUAUUCCACCUGGGGAGUACGCCGGCAACGGUGAAACUCAAAGGAAUUGACGGGG
This 392-nucleotide ribosomal RNA is filed under the name uncultured bacterium. RNAcentral describes it as "partial 16S ribosomal RNA". It matches the Rfam family "Bacterial small subunit ribosomal RNA", at positions 523 to 918 of the family's 1533-position model. The record is from RNAcentral.